Molecule: long non-coding RNA, 2857 nt
Filed under: Homo sapiens (human)
Lineage: Eukaryota; Metazoa; Chordata; Mammalia; Primates; Hominidae
Description: HSALNT0238207
Source: RNAcentral
UGAUUUUCAAGGCUACUGUGGAGCUGAGAAGAAAAUGGGGACAGGACAAGUUAAAACACCACAAACCUUAUUGAUCAUACGGAAAGUCAGCUUUUUUCUCAAAUACAUUUUCUUUGGGUUGUUGCAAUCGUUUGGUUAAUUUCCAGAGUUUAAAAAAGUUUAUUUUGAUCAUUCCUGCCAGUGUCCUCAUUGAUUUUAUGCAGAAUCAGAUAUUCAAAGAUCCAUACUCCACCAUUCUGGAAAUGUUUCUCUACGAUUUUUUUUAAUGGGAUAUAUAGGAUUUCUCUUAAAUUAAUAUAAGCAGCAUCUACUACAUUCACUUAGAACACUAGAUAUUACCACCCAUGAUAGACCAUCUAAAUGAGAAAACUGCUUCUCUUCUCAAAUUUCAUAGAAUGUCCAUGCUGGUUUCCAAAGCACAUGGCAUCUACCUUCAGUAAGCAACACAGAAUAUUAGAACACCAGAGUUCAAGUUCGUAUCUAUACACUCUUCAGCUCCAACUAAGAGGGCCUAAGGGACAGACUGUUCAUCAAUGACUGUAGACUAAUGGUUUUCACCCCUUCAGGCCCACAGCCACUUUUUAUCAGAAAUAUUUUUAAACAUGUUUUAUUAUUCUAAAACACAAACAAUAUAACUUACGUGAGGCAUAUUUUUAAAUCAUCUAUCAUGAUUAAAGGUAUCUUUAAUAUCUAACUGUAAUGUAACAGACAAAUAAAAGGAAGCAACUUACGGUAAUGUGUAAUUCAAACUGGAGAUGGCCAAAACUCCUGAUGACACAAUCAUUAGAUGCUUGCACAUGUACAUAUAAUUACCAUUAAUGUGCCCACUACAAAUGCAGACUACUGCAGUAGUUUUGACCUGGAACUCAAAUGCCAUGAGCAAUGUUGCCACUAGUGACAGUUUUUAAAAUGAUAGAAAACUCUUGGUUACGUACUGAACAAAGACUACGACCUUCCCUCACUUAACUGGUAAUUGCAUUUUUGAGCAAAUCAAGUACUGCAGAUCUACAACAAAAAUAUAAAAUGGAGUUAUAAUCUAAGCUCAAAAAAUUAUUGUCAAUGUCCACCCGUCAGAGAUCAUGAGGAACAGAUCUGCAGUUGAAUCGAGUUGGGUUUAUCAGCACACUUUUACACAAGAGAGAUCACACACCAUGGGGAACCAUGGGGUGCCUCAGUAUGAGGGUGCUGGGAAGGGCUUUUUAAAGGAUUUGGGGUUGUGUUGGGUGAUUUCAAGAAGGGCUCCAUGAAUCAUGGUUUUACUCUGGAUUAAGUGCUUUCAGAAAGCAAGGGAAAUUCUAAAUGAGUGUAAAUAUUGAAAUUUUUAAUCUAGGAGGAAGAAGGAACAGAGUGAUCUAAUGGGUAAUGGAGCAAAUAUCACACAUAUAAGCCAAGAGACAAGAAUGUUUGGUCGCUCUAUGAUUUACACAGAAUCUUGCUAAGUUCCAACAUGCCUAUGGAGUGUCUUAAUUUUUGUCUUCCUCCACCACACUCAGAGUGGACUUGUCAGAUGUUGGUGUUAUAUAACAUUGUUUAUAUUCAACAGAAUAUAAUAGCCUAGCCAUUAGGGCUAAAUCAGCUUCCAGCUGACAGCUGUAGGGGUUGCUCUUCCUUUCUCAUUAUAAACAGGAUUUCUAUGUACAUAAUUAUUCAGCGAGGUUCAAAGAAGUCAUGAGAUACAGGACAAUUCUUUGUUGUCUAAAACUGUCCUAUGCUCUUCAGGCACCUAGCAUCUCUAUUCACUUUCACUCACAUUUCAUUGGCCAUUGUUAACCACAUGGCCUCAAAUUAAUUAAGGAAGCUGAGAAAUGUAGAACAAAUGGAAUGUUUAGUGAGCAUUACUAUCUCUACUACAUGCAACCUUCAAUAAAUUAUUUUACUUCUCUCAGUAUUAGUUACCUACCUGUAACAUGAGGUUACAUGGUACAUAAUGGUCAUUCUUCCCUCUUGGGGAGAAUCACAUGAGAUAAUACAUAAAGGAACUUUAAUAAGCUCUAAGAGUUAUAUAGAUUUAAAAGGCCCAUAGUACCUAUAUGUUGGAGUUAAUGUGCCAUCACUUCUACACACACACACACACACACACACACACACACACACAUACACCCUUACCUAUUUAGAGGUCUGGGUCAAAGAAUACAUACUCUGGGGGAUGUAGAAUUAGAAUGUGAUUUUACUAGGGCCAGGCGUGGUGGCUCACACCUGUAAUUUCCUGGAAGUGUAUCCAUUGGCCCAAACUUGGUGAUGUGGCCACACCAAGAUACAGCGAUAAAAUCUAGGAAAAGUUUUAUCUUUAUUCCAGGAUGCCAUUCCCUAGCUAAUUAGGUGGGAAAUCUGUAGAAGGAGAAAAACGAGUAUUAGGGAAUACAGGGUAGCUCCUACCACAUGCAUAUUCUAAAAUUCAUUGUUACUUGGUUUAGGAUGCAGUUCAAAUAACACAGUUACCUAAAGAACUACACCAAUGUAUCCUUUGUUAGACUCUCAACCCUAAAGAUUUAGGUUAGAUCUUUCAGAUUGUAUUUUAAAAUGUCUUUAGUGCAGUAUCAAUUCUCACCAGACAGAACAGCUAAGUAAAAUAAACAAGCUCUUAACAAAUUAUUAAUUUUUAAGAAAGGAAAGGGCAUUUAGAGCAAAUAUUUUCUCUAAAAAAUACUAAUAUAUCAUGUUUUAUAUCCUACAGAUAUUCCUGCAAUCUGUUUUCCUUGGGAAAGUCACUCAAUAACCUGAAGUUCAGUUAUAUCAUCUAAAGUAUUACAUAUUUAUCAUGAGGGUUAAAUGAGAUUACACAUGUCAAAUGCCUUGUAAAUAGUAGAAUUUUAUACAAAUAUAAAGUUUUGCACCUUCAAAGCUAUCACUCCAAUAA